This 240-nucleotide ribosomal RNA is filed under the name uncultured bacterium. RNAcentral describes it as "partial 16S ribosomal RNA". It matches the Rfam family "Bacterial small subunit ribosomal RNA", at positions 15 to 217 of the family's 1533-position model. The record is from RNAcentral.
GAUCCUGGCUCAGGAUAAACGCUGGCGGCGCACAUAAGACAUGCAAGUCGAACGGAAGUCGUUUACGAAAUGGAAAUGAAGAUUUAUCUGAUUGAAGUUUUGUAACAAUGGCUUUAGUGGCGGACUGGUGAGUAACACGUAAGCAAUCGUACCUAUUAGAGGGGAAUAACAAUGAGAAAUCAUUGCUAAUACCGCAUAAGCUUGUAGUACCGCAUGGUACAGCAGAAAAGGAGCAAUCCG